Molecule: ribosomal RNA, 667 nt
Filed under: embryophyte environmental sample
Lineage: Eukaryota; Viridiplantae; Streptophyta
Description: eukaryotic LSU rRNA
Rfam family: 5.8S ribosomal RNA (bases 251-406)
Source: RNAcentral
CGUACCCUGGAAACAGAACAACACGUGAAUCAGUUUGAAUACACGACCAGAGAACGUGUUUAUCAUGAACGGGGAUGUGGUGAAAGCCCCAUCCCUAAGCUGGGAUGGUACUCCGCCUCGGUGGGGUAUUUUCUCAGCACAAUAACGAACCCCGGCGCGGUCUGCGCCAAGGAACAUGGAUACAAGUGUGCCCUUCUUCAGCUGGUUCGCCAGAUGUAGAGGUGGCACCAAGUCGUAUAUAACAUUAAACGACUCUCGGCAACGGAUAUCUCGGCUCUCGCAUCGAUGAAGAACGUAGCGAAAUGCGAUACUUGGUGUGAAUUGCAGAAUCCCGUGAACCAUCGAGUCUUUGAACGCAAGUUGCGCCCGAAGCCUUUAGGUCGAGGGCACGCCUGCCUGGGCGUCACGCAUCGCGUCUCCCCCCACCCACCUUCAGUGGGAGGGGCGGAGGAUGAUGGCCUCCCAUGCCUCACCGGGUGUGGAUGGCCUAAAUACGGAGCCCCCGGUUAUGAAGUGCCGCGGCAUAGGUGAGAUACAAGGCCUAGCCUAGGAUACAUCGGAGUCGUGCACUUUUUAGCUUUUGAGGACUCGCAGGACCCUAAGUUUGUUUGCCCAUUGGGGCAUCAAAACCGUUGCGACCCCAGGUCAGGCGGGGCUACCCGCUGAG